AGAAGCUUGCUUCUAAAUAAUCUAGCGGCGGACGGGUUAGUAACACGUAGGCAACCUGCCCACAAGACAGGGAUAACUACCGGAAACGGUAGCUAAUACCCGAUACAUCCUUUUCCUGCAUGGGAGAAGGAGGAAAGGCGGAGCAAUCUGUCACUUGUGGAUGGGCCUGCGGCGCAUUAGCUAGUUGGUGGGGUAAAGGCCUACCAAGGCGACGAUGCGUAGCCGACCUGAGAGGGUGAUCGGCCACACUGGGACUGACACACGGCCCAGACUCCUACGGGAGGCAG
RNAcentral lists this ribosomal RNA (287 nucleotides) under Paenibacillus sp. UFPI B3-9. RNAcentral's name for it is "partial 16S ribosomal RNA". It matches the Rfam family "Bacterial small subunit ribosomal RNA", at positions 74 to 351 of the family's 1533-position model. The record is from RNAcentral. Lineage: Bacteria; Bacillati; Bacillota; Bacilli; Caryophanales; Paenibacillaceae.